Helianthus annuus (common sunflower) is the source of this 1082-nucleotide long non-coding RNA. RefSeq lists it as uncharacterized. The record is from RefSeq and is a predicted model, not a curated record. NCBI's taxonomy places the organism in Eukaryota, Viridiplantae, Streptophyta, Magnoliopsida, Asterales, Asteraceae. The transcript is spliced from 3 exons.
UACAAAAAUUAGUUUAUAUAUAGUAAUAAAAUAUGUUUAAGGUUUAAUCUUGUUGUAAUAUGUUUUUAGUGAAAUAUAAAAUAUUAAUAUUUAUGGUUUUGAAGUUAAUGUUACAUUCUACUAGUAACCUAUCAAUGUGUCUAAAUUAACACCAUUGGUUUUGCUACAAUGCUCUCAACAACCGACUAUUGAUCUAGAAUAAUAAACAACGAAAAUUGGAGAAAAAAGUAAUAAUCACGAAAAUGACUCGUGGAUUUUGUUAAAUUUAAUAAAACAUUAUUCAAUAACAAUUAGAUGUUAUUUAUAUUUUUAUUAACAUAUAGAUGUUAUUUAUAUUUACAUUUACAUAUAGGUGUAUAAAUAUAGAUUUAGAUAACCCUUUAGAAUUACCUGUCUAAAAUUUAUCUAAUAGAGAUCCUAGAGAGGUUGAAGAUCACAUUUUCAGUUUAGCGACUCAUCAUGUCGAUAAAGAUUUCAUUCUUGCACCGCAUUUGGCUGAGUAAGUUUUUUUUAGUUAACUUGCUUUUAUUUUAUUACUAUGAUUCACCUAACUAUUCUAUAACGCUAAUUUUGUAGCGACCAUUGGUCUUUGUUCAUCAUUGCCCAACACAUAGGACAUAGGACAUGUUUAUAUUUUGGAUUCAACAAAGAUAAAAGACGAAAAGAAUGCUUCUAACUAUCGUCUUUCAAACCUAAUUCCUACCGCCUUAGGAUCCGAGUUCAACUACACAAUGGUUGAUUGUAAGCAACAAAAGGGUGGAUGGGAAUGCGGCUACAUGGUUCUCCAACAUAUGUUUGACUUUGUCAAUUUGUAUCGAAACCAAUUUCCCGAUGAAAUGUGGCACGACACGAGAGUGGCUACGGAUAAUGAAAUAGAUGUUUUGUUGAUGACAUUGAUGCCGAAGUUUUUUAGCGAGUUAGGUAUUCCGUUAGUUUAGCUUAUGUGUAGUUUGUUAUGUAUUCACAAAUGAUUGUAAUUUGACGGGUUUAUUUCCGAAUUGGAUGUGGGGUUUAUUUUGGAUUUGAAUGUGUAUUGUUUUGGUUUGAUUUGAAAAUGUUGCAUUGGUGUAUAUAAGGUUGAU